This 545-nucleotide ribosomal RNA is filed under the name uncultured bacterium. RNAcentral describes it as "bacterial SSU rRNA". It matches the Rfam family "Bacterial small subunit ribosomal RNA", at positions 777 to 1319 of the family's 1533-position model. The record is from RNAcentral.
AAUAGAUACCCUGGUAGUCCACGCCGUAAACGAUGAGUGCUAAGUGUUGGGGGGUUUCCGCCCCUCAGUGCUGCAGCUAACGCAUUAAGCACUCCGCCUGGGGAGUACGGUCGCAAGACUGAAACUCAAAGGAAUUGACGGGGGCCCGCACAAGCGGUGGAGCAUGUGGUUUAAUUCGAAGCAACGCGAAGAACCUUACCAGGUCUCGACAUCCCGGUGACCACUAUGGAGACAUAGUUUCCCCUUCGGGGGCAACGGUGACAGGUGGUGCAUGGUUGUCGUCAGCUCGUGUCGUGAGAUGUUGGGUUAAGUCCCGCAACGAGCGCAACCCUUAUUCUUAGUUGCCAUCAUUCAGUUGGGCACUCUAAGGGAGACUGCCGGUGAUAAACCGGAGGAAGGUGGGGAUGACGUCAAAUCAUCAUGCCCCUUAUGACCUGGGCUACACACGUGCUACAAUGGACGGUACAAACGGUUGCCAACCCGCGAGGGGGAGCUAAUCCGAUAAAACCGUUCUCAGUUCGGAUUGUAGGCUGCAACUCGCCUAC